GCGGGUAUAGUUUAGUGGUAAAACCUCAGCCUUCCAAGCUGAUGAUGGGGGUUCGAUUCCCCCUACCCGCU
Transfer RNA from Virgibacillus necropolis, 71 nucleotides. It matches the Rfam family "tRNA". Rfam says of the family: Transfer RNA (tRNA) molecules are approximately 80 nucleotides in length. Their secondary structure includes four short double-helical elements and three loops (D, anti-codon, and T loops). Further hydrogen bonds mediate the characteristic L-shaped molecular structure. tRNAs have two regions of fundamental functional importance: the anti-codon, which is responsible for specific mRNA codon recognition, and the 3' end, to which the tRNAs corresponding amino acid is attached (by aminoacyl-tRNA synthetases). tRNAs cope with the degeneracy of the genetic code in two manners: having more than one tRNA (with a specific anti-codon) for a particular amino acid; and 'wobble' base-pairing, i.e. permitting non-standard base-pairing at the 3rd anti-codon position. Lineage: Bacteria; Bacillati; Bacillota; Bacilli; Caryophanales; Bacillaceae. The record is from Rfam.